GAACAAAAUUGAAUUAAUUAACUUCACUUUCGUCUUUGUAUCCACCAAAACACCUAAACAAAUAAAAUCAAUAAAAAUUAAGGAGUUAGAUAAGUUUUCAGUCUCCAUAUCCAUGACUUGUUUUUCUGCAACUUCCAAUGUUGUUUUCAUAAAUGGUUUUUCCUCAACUUCCAAUGGAAUCUCAAAAACAGGAUAUUUUCCAUUCCCUAGGACA
RNAcentral lists this unclassified non-coding RNA (214 nucleotides) under Hevea brasiliensis (rubber tree). Lineage: Eukaryota; Viridiplantae; Streptophyta; Magnoliopsida; Malpighiales; Euphorbiaceae. The record is from RNAcentral.